AUGAACGCUGGCGGCGUGCCUAAUACAUGCAAGUCGAGCGAACAGACGAGGAGCUUGCUCCUCUGACGUUAGCGGCGGACGGGUGAGUAACACGUGGAUAACCUACCUAUAAGACUGGGAUAACUUCGGGAAACCGGAGCUAAUACCGGAUAAUAUAUUGAACCGCAUGGUUCAAUAGUGAAAGACGGUUUUGCUGUCACUUAUAGAUGUAUCCGCGCCGCAUUAGCUAGUUGGUAAGGUAACGGCUUACCAAGGCAACGAUGCGUAGCCGACCUGAGAGGGUGAUCGGCCACACUGGAACUGAGACACGGUCCAGACUCCUACGGGAGGCAGCAGUAGGGAAUCUUCCGCAAUGGGCGAAAGCUUGACGGAGCAACGCCGCGUGAGUGAUGAAGGUCUUCGGAUCGUAAAACUCUGUUAUUAGGGAAGAACAAAUGUGUAAGUAACUAUGCACGUCUUGACGGUACCUAAUCAGAAAGCCACGGCUAACUACGUG
This 496-nucleotide ribosomal RNA is filed under the name uncultured bacterium. Its description in RNAcentral is "partial 16S ribosomal RNA". It matches the Rfam family "Bacterial small subunit ribosomal RNA", at positions 29 to 507 of the family's 1533-position model. The record is from RNAcentral.